CUGUCAAUUUGCUCUCCUCUUCCCCGCUGCCAAUCCUGGGGGCGUCCUCUGCUGCCCAAGAAGCCGGAUGCCCGUCUCCAGGUGACAUUUUAGGUUAUUGGGUCACAGAUUGCUGGCACACUCAUCCCUGUUCUCAAAUAUCUUUUAAACUUGGGUGAAGUGAUAAGUAGGGGAAGAUGAUUUACUGAAAGCAAUGCAGAGUCUCCCGAGAACAGAUUCAGACUGAACAGAUUUGUGUCAGAAUUUGGGAGACCGCUGGUGCCCAAGAUGUUCUCUGGCAGGUCAAUGACGAAUCUAGGUCCCUCUUUCACUGCUACGUCAAUGAAGUGGGCCACUUCAACAAGGCCAAACCUGGUAUCCCAACCAUAGCCCUUGACAGUGAUGUUCGGCUCCAGGAAGCCAUCAGAUGCAGCAGGUGGCCAGAGGAGGAGCCGAACGUGCUCAUGAAA
This is a long non-coding RNA of Camelus dromedarius (Arabian camel), 449 nucleotides long. RefSeq lists it as uncharacterized. The transcript is spliced from 3 exons. NCBI's taxonomy places the organism in Eukaryota, Metazoa, Chordata, Mammalia, Artiodactyla, Camelidae. The record is from RefSeq and is a predicted model, not a curated record.